CGGCUCCUUCCACGAACCAGAGUGCCGUCGCGCGCCGCAACUCGUUGCGUGUCGUCGCGUUCGGUGCGCCUGGGUGGACAGGUGGUUCCCAGCGGCGUCGGCGACAAUGCACUUCCCCCCUAGUAGAAAUGUCGCGACCCGUCGGGUGCCGGUCUCGAGGCCCUUGGCCGGCAGAACGUGCGUCCCGCCGGUUCUCGGCGGGCGCGCGGACGCUGGGCGACCYGGCCGGCCGCCCGACGGAAGACGGCUCGGAGGAGUCGAUCCGCUUUGGUUGUGAAGCGUCGGAACUGGGGACCGGCGAGUAACGGGUGCCGCGAGGGGUUUUCCAACCGUGCUCUGCACAAACCCCAGGCAAUUGUGCGCCGUCGGUAGCCCAGUUCCGAGACCGGAAAACACUCCAGUCGGCGGCCAGGGAAUCGGGUGUUCUCCCGACCCGUCUUGAA
This 443-nucleotide ribosomal RNA is filed under the name Antongilia laciniata. RNAcentral's name for it is "partial large subunit ribosomal RNA". The record is from RNAcentral. Lineage: Eukaryota; Metazoa; Arthropoda; Insecta; Phasmatodea; Bacillidae.